AGCAGCCGCGGUAAUUCCAGCUCCAAUAGCGUAUAUUAAAGUUGUUGCAGUUAAAAAGCUCGUAGUUGAAUUUCGGGGUUAGUAGGUUGGUCAUGCCUCUGGUAUGUACUGGUCUCACUGAUUCCUCCUUCCUGAUGAGCCGUAAUGCCAUUAAUUUGGUGUUGCGGGGAAUCUGGACUGUUACUUUGAAAAAAUUAGAGUGUUUAAAGCAAGCUAACGCUUGAAUACAUUAGCAUGGAAUAAUGAAAUAGGACGUUCGAUCCUAUUUUGUUGGUUUCUAGGAUUGACGUAAUGAUUAAUAGGGAUAGUUGGGGGCAUUAGUAUUCAAUUGUCAGAGGUGAAAUUCUUGGAUUUAUUGAAGACUAACUACUGCGAAAGCAUUUUGCCAAGGAUGUUUUCAUUAAUCAAGAACGAAAGUUAGGGGAUCGAAGACGAUCAGAUACCGUCGUAGUCUUAACCAUAAACUAUGCCGACUAGGGAUCGGAUGAUGUUAAUUUUUUAAUGACUCAUUCGGCGCCUU
This 520-nucleotide unclassified non-coding RNA is filed under the name uncultured Glomus. Its description in RNAcentral is "SSU rRNA". It matches the Rfam family "Eukaryotic small subunit ribosomal RNA", at positions 569 to 1089 of the family's 1831-position model. Lineage: Eukaryota; Fungi; Glomeromycota; Glomeromycetes; Glomerales; Glomeraceae. The record is from RNAcentral.